GACGAACGCUGGCGGCGUGCUUAACACAUGCAAGUCGAGCGGUAAGGCCCUUUCGGGGGUACGACGAGCGGCGAACGGGUGAGUAACACGUGGGUGACCUGCCCUCAGCUCUGGGAUAAGCCUGGGAAACCGGGUCUAAUACUGGAUAUGACUCCAUGACGCAUGUUGUGGGGUGGAAAGCCUUGUGCGGCUGAGGAUGGGCCCGCGGCCUAUCAGCUUGUUGGUGGGGUGANGGCUUACCAAGGCGACGACGGGUAGCCGGCCUGAGAGGGCGACCGGCCACACUGGGACUGAGACACGGCCCAGACUCCUACGGGAGGCAGCAGUGGGGAAUCUUGCGCAAUGGGCGAAAGCCUGACGCAGCGACGCCGCGUGAGGGAUGACGGCCUGG
This 391-nucleotide ribosomal RNA is filed under the name uncultured bacterium. RNAcentral's name for it is "bacterial SSU rRNA". It matches the Rfam family "Bacterial small subunit ribosomal RNA", at positions 28 to 419 of the family's 1533-position model. The record is from RNAcentral.